Molecule: ribosomal RNA, 730 nt
Filed under: uncultured archaeon
Lineage: Archaea
Description: bacterial SSU rRNA
Rfam family: Archaeal small subunit ribosomal RNA
Source: RNAcentral
AUGCGAGUCAUUGUAGCAAUACAAGGCAGACGGCUCAGUAACGCGUAGUCAACCUAACCUAUGGACGGGAAUAACCUCGGGAAACUGAGAAUAAUGCCCGAUAGAACACUAUACCUGGAAUGGUUUGUGUUCCAAAUGAUUUAUCGCCGUAGGAUGGGACUGCGGCCUAUCAGUUUGUUGGUGAGGUAAUGGCCCACCAAGACUAUUACAGGUACGGGCUCUGAGAGGAGUAGCCCGGAGAUGGGUACUGAGACACGGACCCAGGCCCUAUGGGGCGCAGCAGGCGAGAAAACUUUGCAAUGUGCGAAAGCACGACAAGGUUAAUCCGAGUGGUUUGUGCUAAACGAACCUUUUGUCGGUCCUAGAAACACCGAUGAAUAAGGGGUGGGCAAGUUCUGGUGUCAGCCGCCGCGGUAAAACCAGCACCUCAAGUGGUCAGGAUGAUUAUUGGGCCUAAAGCAUCCGUAGCCGGCUCUGUAAGUUUUCGGUUAAAUCUGUAUGCUCAACAUACAGGCUGCCGGGAAUACUGCAGAGCUAGGGAGUGGGAGAGGUAGACGGUACUCGGUAGGAAGGGGUAAAAUCCUUUGAUCUAUUGAUGACCACCUGUGGCGAAGGCGGUCUACCAGAACACGUCCGACGGUGAGGGAUGAAAGCUGGGGGAGCAAACCGGAUUAGAUACCCGGGUAGUCCCAGCUGUAAACGAUGCAUGCUAGGUGUUGGGUUGGCCACG